AUGGCUGGAAUGUUCAACAAGGAGUUUGCUGAGUUGGCCCAGACAGGGCUGAACUACCUGUCAUGGUCCUCGGACUGCGAGAUCUUUCUCCAGGGCAAAACCCUCCUGAGGGCGAUCGGUAAGGGGGUCCAGCUGGCCCCCACUGAUCCCAAGUUCGAAACUGAGAAUGCGUAGGCUCUGCACUUUCUCCGUCAUCACCUAUCACCUACUCUGAAAGAUGAGUAUAUGGCUGAGUGCAGUAGUUCUGGCCUUUGGACCACACUUAAGCAGCGGUUUGAGCAGCUGAAGUACACUGUGAAGCCACGUGCAGAGGCAGAGUGGAUCCGUCUGAGGUUUGCGGACUUCAAGAUGAAGAUUGAGAAAACCCUAUCCACUUUCCACCCCUACACGGUCCAGUCCUCACGGAACUACCGCCAGGGGAACUACACGAGGUAUUCAGAGUUGAUUGGCGUCCUCCAGGUGGCGGAGGCGCAGGACGAGGUUCUCAAAAAGAACUUUGUCGCGCAACCACUAGGGGGGAGUUCUCGCCAGGAGGUGAACGCUCUCAAAGUCCGCAAGCCUCAACAGAAGAAGGGGGGCCGCAAGGCGGCUAAGCAGCACAAGCCGGGCAAGGGAGGGCAGAGGCCUCAGAACUGCUUCCGUUGUGGCUCAGUGGAGCAUUUCUCCCGCCAGUGCCGCGCACCACCGGAGGUCGUUGAAGCAUACAAGGCUCGGAAGGCGCGUGAGACGCACCUCGCCUUGGUUCAGGAGGGAGCACCACCGGCGCCCAUGGCAGCACCAAAGAUGAUCUCUAUGCCCCCUGCGCGCCCAUAG
This 813-nucleotide ribosomal RNA is filed under the name Triticum aestivum (bread wheat). Its description in RNAcentral is "partial small subunit ribosomal RNA". Lineage: Eukaryota; Viridiplantae; Streptophyta; Magnoliopsida; Poales; Poaceae. The record is from RNAcentral.